CGUCACGAUUAUCUAGCAUACUUCAAUUCCAGCAUUUCUAAUGCAAAGGUAUUGGGACAGACGAGGUGAUCAUUGUACAGUUAUUGUUUAGGGCUGUUGAUGAGGCGAAGAAAGCGUACUCUGGUCAGAAUAUAACAAACGUGAUGUCAGAGAAACUUCUUGAUAUAGCAAGAACAGUUGGGUAACCACGGAAACUGAAGAUACAAACAAUGUGUAUUUGUGAGAAGGGCUAAAGGGAUGAACAGCACCGGCCACAAAAGUUACAGGAGAUAUAAUUUGAUCAGCAUUGUACAUGGACUG
Long non-coding RNA from Ruditapes philippinarum (Manila clam), 300 nucleotides. RefSeq lists it as uncharacterized. NCBI's taxonomy places the organism in Eukaryota, Metazoa, Mollusca, Bivalvia, Venerida, Veneridae. The record is from RefSeq and is a predicted model, not a curated record. The transcript has 3 exons.